This 1965-nucleotide ribosomal RNA is filed under the name Escherichia coli. RNAcentral describes it as "partial 23S ribosomal RNA". It matches the Rfam family "Bacterial large subunit ribosomal RNA", at positions 483 to 2431 of the family's 2925-position model. Lineage: Bacteria; Pseudomonadati; Pseudomonadota; Gammaproteobacteria; Enterobacterales; Enterobacteriaceae. The record is from RNAcentral.
ACCGAUAGUGAACCAGUACCGUGAGGGAAAGGCGAAAAGAACCCCGGCGAGGGGAGUGAAAAAGAACCUGAAACCGUGUACGUACAAGCAGUGGGAGCACAGAGCAAUCUGUGUGACUGCGUACCUUUUGUAUAAUGGGUCAGCGACUUAUAUUCUGUAGCAAGGUUAACCGAAUAGGGGAGCCGAAGGGAAACCGAGUCUUAACUGGGCGUUAAGUUGCAGGGUAUAGACCCGAAACCCGGUGAUCUAGCCAUGGGCAGGUUGAAGGUUGGGUAACACUAACUGGAGGACCGAACCGACUAAUGUUGAAAAAUUAGCGGAUGACUUGUGGCUGGGGGUGAAAGGCCAAUCAAACCGGGAGAUAGCUGGUUCUCCCCGAAAGCUAUUUAGGUAGCGCCUCGUGAAUUCAUCUCCGGGGGUAGAGCACUGUUUCGGCAAGGGGGUCAUCCCGACUUACCAACCCGAUGCAAACUGCGAAUACCGGAGAAUGUUAUCACGGGAGACACACGGCGGGUGCUAACGUCCGUCGUGAAGAGGGAAACAACCCAGACCGCCAGCUAAGGUCCCAAAGUCAUGGUUAAGUGGGAAACGAUGUGGGAAGGCCCAGACAGCCAGGAUGUUGGCUUAGAAGCAGCCAUCAUUUAAAGAAAGCGUAAUAGCUCACUGGUCGAGUCGGCCUGCGCGGAAGAUGUAACGGGGCUAAACCAUGCACCGAAGCUGCGGCAGCGACGCUUAUGCGUUGUUGGGUAGGGGAGCGUUCUGUAAGCCUGUGAAGGUGUACUGUGAGGUAUGCUGGAGGUAUCAGAAGUGCGAAUGCUGACAUAAGUAACGAUAAAGCGGGUGAAAAGCCCGCUCGCCGGAAGACCAAGGGUUCCUGUCCAACGUUAAUCGGGGCAGGGUGAGUCGACCCCUAAGGCGAGGCCGAAAGGCGUAGUCGAUGGGAAACAGGUUAAUAUUCCUGUACUUGGUGUUACUGCGAAGGGGGGACGGAGAAGGCUAUGUUGGCCGGGCGACGGUUGUCCCGGUUUAAGCGUGUAGGCUGGUUUUCCAGGCAAAUCCGGAAAAUCAAGGCUGAGGCGUGAUGACGAGGCACUACGGUGCUGAAGCAACAAAUGCCCUGCUUCCAGGAAAAGCCUCUAAGCAUCAGGUAACAUCAAAUCGUACCCCAAACCGACACAGGUGGUCAGGUAGAGAAUACCAAGGCGCUUGAGAGAACUCGGGUGAAGGAACUAGGCAAAAUGGUGCCGUAACUUCGGGAGAAGGCACGCUGAUAUGUAGGUGAAGUCCCUCGCGGAUGGAGCUGAAAUCAGUCGAAGAUACCAGCUGGCUGCAACUGUUUAUUAAAAACACAGCACUGUGCAAACACGAAAGUGGACGUAUACGGUGUGACGCCUGCCCGGUGCCGGAAGGUUAAUUGAUGGGGUCAGCGCAAGCGAAGCUCUUGAUCGAAGCCCCGGUAAACGGCGGCCGUAACUAUAACGGUCCUAAGGUAGCGAAAUUCCUUGUCGGGUAAGUUCCGACCUGCACGAAUGGCGUAAUGAUGGCCAGGCUGUCUCCACCCGAGACUCAGUGAAAUUGAACUCGCUGUGAAGAUGCAGUGUACCCGCGGCAAGACGGAAAGACCCCGUGAACCUUUACUAUAGCUUGACACUGAACAUUGAGCCUUGAUGUGUAGGAUAGGUGGGAGGCUUUGAAGUGUGGACGCCAGUCUGCAUGGAGCCGGCCUUGAAAUACCACCCUUUAAUGUUUGAUGUUCUAACGUUGACCCGUAAUCCGGGUUGCGGACAGUGUCUGGUGGGUAGUUUGACUGGGGCGGUCUCCUCCUAAAGAGUAACGGAGGAGCACGAAGGUUGGCUAAUCCUGGUCGGACAUCAGGAGGUUAGUGCAAUGGCAUAAGCCAGCUUGACUGCGAGCGUGACGGCGCGAGCAGGUGCGAAAGCAGGUCAUAGUGAUCCGGUGGUUCUG